RNAcentral lists this ribosomal RNA (1479 nucleotides) under Triticum aestivum (bread wheat). RNAcentral's name for it is "partial small subunit ribosomal RNA". Lineage: Eukaryota; Viridiplantae; Streptophyta; Magnoliopsida; Poales; Poaceae. The record is from RNAcentral.
AUGGACAUGAACGGAGCUAACCAAGGCUGCGGCGAGGACUGCGACGCGGAGGGCUGCGAGCGCGGGGCGGACGGCUGCCAGGAAUGCGAGUGGUGGAGGCUGCACUGCUACUGGAGCCACGCUGGCGACCACCCGAGGCAGUUCUCCCUCGUCGCCGGCGACGAUUUCGCGGACCAUAUGCGCAUACGACCGCCGGUUGCAAGCCAUCUGAGAAACUUGAUCACUGAGUUCGAGGAGAUCCAACUUGAAGCUCCUGAUGGCCGUGUGUACCCUGUUAAAAUCGGUUGGGAGUUUGGUGACAUUGUUCUUAGGUCUGGAUGGCACGACUUUGUCAAGGCGCAUCACAUAGAACAAAACUCCUCCAUCCGGUUUGUGUACCGUGGGAACUCCAGCUUCGAGGUUCACAUAUCCGAUUCACCCGGUCACGGCAACUCUUCUCCACCACCUCCUGGUGAUUGUCAUGUGCCGAAUGAACAGGUGGUGCCUGAUCCUGCACAUGUUCAGACAUCAAUCAACAUUGACUAUACCGCAUUCCCUGGGACCAGGCUAAGCCAUGAACAAGAGAAGAAAGUGCUAGAACUAGCUCAGAGAAGCAUGAGGUCUGAAUUUCGUCUGCAUGUGGCAGCUGUGAACAAAAGGAAUGCCAACGGGGACUGCCAUGUUUACAUACCCUUGACGCUUUUGGACAGUUUCAAAGAGGGGAUAACUGAAGCUCCAAUUCAGCUCAAAGCCCAUAGCAACGACAUGAUAUAUGUUGUUGGCGCAAGCAAGCAUGGUGACGAUCAAGUAAUCCUCCAAUCUAAGUUGAGUCAUUUUGUAGAUGGUCACCGCAUGCAAGACAACGACCUCCUCGUCUUUAGAAGCAAGGGGAAAGCCCAGCUCGAAGUUCUUGUCCUUGACCCGAGCGGUUGUGAGAAAACCUGGUUUGACACGGGAAACUCUUCAAACGUUUCCAGAGAAGGCCGUCGUGCACACGCUCAGAACACGGCUUCAACAUCCUUCGGUUGGGCUAAAUCAGGACUCCAAGCUCGCGAGUCGAAUGAAGCAGGUUUACAAGCUCCUAGGUCCAACAACUACAUAUCAACCCAAUCGACCCCUCUACAUAGCCAACAGAAAGAGAAAGUCGAAGAGAGGGUUCGGGCAAUUGGUUCCCAAUUUCCUGUGUUUGUUAAAGUGGUUAGCUCCAGUGAGGUUGUUACCAAAACUUCUCUGUACUUGGGCCCGGAGUAUGCUUCGGCAUGUCUCCUGACCCAGCCAGGGCGCCUCCGCCUCCUGCUGGACGGCGACGACAGGGAUUGGGACUGCAUGUUGGGCUUGAGGAAAUCUAACAAAACUUGGUGGAUCGACAGAGCCUGGCCGAAAUUCAUCUCGGAUGUCGGGCUGGAGGAAGAUGACAUCUGCCUCUUCGAACUGACGGACACGAGCAGUCUCACGAUGAAGGUCCAUGUGAUCCGCAAGUCGGAUAUACCGGCGCCAUGA